Chiloscyllium plagiosum (whitespotted bambooshark) is the source of this 776-nucleotide long non-coding RNA. RefSeq lists it as uncharacterized. NCBI's taxonomy places the organism in Eukaryota, Metazoa, Chordata, Chondrichthyes, Orectolobiformes, Hemiscylliidae. The record is from RefSeq and is a predicted model, not a curated record.
CGGAAGUAGGGGAAGUCUCCUAGCAACAGAGCGGAAGUGCUUGAUGGAAGUGUGGUGCUGUGUUUGUUCCAGCUUCAGACUGUGGAUGCCUGCCACAUUUUACUGCACUUUUGGCAGGUGACUACAAUGCAGAAGUUCACCAUGCAGCUUCCUGGACAACUACAGUGGAUAAAGCUUCUAAGUUUGAUUAUUCUGAUUAUUUCAAGAGACUGCAGCUUCUAUGCCUGGAAAAGUUGAACUGCGCUGGGAAAGUUGCUGUAAUGGAGCCUUGGAUUCUGUCUGCCUGAAAGAAAGAUCACCUUGGGACAUCAAUGAAAGAUUGUUACCAUGAAAACUUUCCAAGCUAAUGUAUUAUGCAAGAAAUACAUUCCAAAGAUAGUUCAAUUGCUUUUGGGAAUGAUUUAAGUGAAAUUGUACUACUAGGGUGCAUCAUUGGUAACUUGCUGUAUUCCUAUAUAAUUAUCUCAAAUUAAUUGUAAUUUUAUCCUGAGUUUAUCAAUAUUAUGGUCUGAUUCUCUUAAUCGAUUGCUGUAGACAGCACAGCAGUGGCAGGUCAGCACAUGGUUAUCAAGGUGUAAACCAUAAUUAAACAAUAUUUCACAAUAUACAUCAUUGUACAGUUUUCACUUCAAAGAUAAUUGUAUGUUAAUUUCCAUCCAUUAAAAUUAAUGGUCAGUAAAGUUGUCUGUGUACCCAACUUUCCAAUUUUUUUUAAUGAAACGGCGUUGGAAAUCUGUAUCUAGUGUAAAGAAACAAGGGUUAAUUUUUAUAUGUUA